This 475-nucleotide ribosomal RNA is filed under the name Trichoderma koningiopsis. Its description in RNAcentral is "eukaryotic LSU rRNA". The stretch from base 160 to 313 matches the Rfam family "5.8S ribosomal RNA". Lineage: Eukaryota; Fungi; Ascomycota; Sordariomycetes; Hypocreales; Hypocreaceae. The record is from RNAcentral.
UGUGAACCAUACCAAACUGUUGCCUCGGCGGGGUCACGCCCCGGGUGCGUCGCAGCCCCGGAACCAGGCGCCCGCCGGAGGGACCAACCAAACUCUUUCUGUAGUCCCCUCGCGGACGUUAUUUCUUACAGCUCUGAGCAAAAAUUCAAAAUGAAUCAAAACUUUCAACAACGGAUCUCUUGGUUCUGGCAUCGAUGAAGAACGCAGCGAAAUGCGAUAAGUAAUGUGAAUUGCAGAAUUCAGUGAAUCAUCGAAUCUUUGAACGCACAUUGCGCCCGCCAGUAUUCUGGCGGGCAUGCCUGUCCGAGCGUCAUUUCAACCCUCGAACCCCUCCGGGGGGUCGGCGUUGGGGAUCGGGAACCCCUAAGACGGGAUCCCGGCCCCGAAAUACAGUGGCGGUCUCGCCGCAGCCUCUCCUGCGCAGUAGUUUGCACAACUCGCACCGGGAGCGCGGCGCGUCCACGUCCGUAAAACA